UACGUAGGGGGCUAGCGUUGUUCGGAAUCAUUGGGCGUAAAGAGCGUGUAGGCGGCCCGGUAAGUCCGCUGUGAAAGUCGGGGGCUCAACCCUCGAAUGCCGGUGGAUACUGUCGGGCUAGAGUGCGGAAGAGGCGAGUGGAAUUCCUGGUGUAGCGGUGAAAUGCGCAGAUAUCAGGAGGAACACCAAUUGCGAAGGCAGCUCGCUGGGACGUUACUGACGCUGAGACGCGAAAGCGUGGGGAGCAAACAGG
RNAcentral lists this ribosomal RNA (253 nucleotides) under uncultured bacterium. RNAcentral's name for it is "partial 16S ribosomal RNA". It matches the Rfam family "Bacterial small subunit ribosomal RNA", at positions 524 to 776 of the family's 1533-position model. The record is from RNAcentral.